UUCAUUGUCCCAGGGGCUGUGUCGAUGCGUCUACCUAUAUUAUUCUACCAUGGUUGUUACCAUACGUUACCACACGCAGCAUUAGUAACUAAAAAUUGCAACCCUGCUACAUUUUUACAAGCCAACAAAUUGACAACAUUGUGGCGGCAAAAAAUCAAUAAUUGUGAUUGAAUUGUGCUCAGUUGGCGGGGAAAUAAACAACAAACGAACAUCGGUUUUCAGACUAAAAUUUUAUAAUAUUUUGCUUUUCUUGCUGUCAAUUCAUGAAAAUCGAAGAAAUUAAAAGUAGCGUUCGCACCCACGCAUAUCAUAUCAUAACAAUAUUAAAGGUUUGGGCAUAAAUGGCGAAGGUGCGGCAUUGCCCAUGACCGCUGGUUUGGUUGGACAAAAUGUUGUCCGAGAAGCUGCUGUUAUAGUUGCGAAUUUGUAAAAAAAACAAGAAAAUGCUGGUCUUGUCUCACAGCUGAGGUACCAUCCGGUACGGGCAAAGCUGCAAUUGCUCCAGCUAUUGCACAGGAAUUAGGCAAUAAGGUUAAGGUAACAUUCUGCACAUGAUGAGUUCGGAGAUAUUCCGCAGUGACACCUUUGCAACGGAAUUGGAUUUGGAGACCGAGGGUUGGUUGUGUUAUAUGUGACACCACAGACACUGCCUCACCUCAUGGCAUUCCCUUGGAUUUACCUGAUCUAUGGCUCAUCAUAGGCAUCUUGCCAUAGCAUUCCAGUGAAAUAUGGAACAACUCAUAAUGUUAAAUGGAGAACCUGCAAUUUGAAGAGUCUGCCUUUAAACGUCUCAAUGACGUUGACUGUCCAGUUGCAUAUUGAUGAUAUCAUGCCUUAUUCUUGGGUGCAAGACGUUCAUCUAAACGUCUAUCCGAGAAGAAUAAUAAAUGUAUGAUGAAAUCUAUGGAAUUGACUCACACUGACAUUAUUUGCUAUAUUUCAUACCUGUCACAUUCCUUACUUACCCACAUAUUUUAGCAAUAAAAAAACAAUAGUUUGCCUGCCAUUAA
Musca domestica (house fly) is the source of this 1010-nucleotide long non-coding RNA. RefSeq lists it as uncharacterized. The record is from RefSeq and is a predicted model, not a curated record. The transcript has 2 exons. Lineage: Eukaryota; Metazoa; Arthropoda; Insecta; Diptera; Muscidae.